Clonorchis sinensis is the source of this 72-nucleotide transfer RNA. It matches the Rfam family "tRNA". Rfam says of the family: Transfer RNA (tRNA) molecules are approximately 80 nucleotides in length. Their secondary structure includes four short double-helical elements and three loops (D, anti-codon, and T loops). Further hydrogen bonds mediate the characteristic L-shaped molecular structure. tRNAs have two regions of fundamental functional importance: the anti-codon, which is responsible for specific mRNA codon recognition, and the 3' end, to which the tRNAs corresponding amino acid is attached (by aminoacyl-tRNA synthetases). tRNAs cope with the degeneracy of the genetic code in two manners: having more than one tRNA (with a specific anti-codon) for a particular amino acid; and 'wobble' base-pairing, i.e. permitting non-standard base-pairing at the 3rd anti-codon position. NCBI's taxonomy places the organism in Eukaryota, Metazoa, Platyhelminthes, Trematoda, Opisthorchiida, Opisthorchiidae. The record is from Rfam.
UCCCGCGUGGUCUAGCGGUUAGGAUUCCUGGCUUUCACCCAGGCGGCCCGGGUUCGACUCCCGGCGCGGGAG